Alosa sapidissima (American shad) is the source of this 403-nucleotide long non-coding RNA. RefSeq lists it as uncharacterized. The transcript has 3 exons. NCBI's taxonomy places the organism in Eukaryota, Metazoa, Chordata, Actinopteri, Clupeiformes, Clupeidae. The record is from RefSeq and is a predicted model, not a curated record.
UGCUGUUUCCAUCCGCCCUUUUCACUCACUCUGACCAGCGUUGGAGUAAAGAUGCAGUCAGACUUGGAGACCGAUCUGGAAAGACAGACCAAUUCAUCAGGAAAUGGGAAGCGAGCAUCAUUCCAAAGCUGAGAGCAGUUGCUGCCUUGGAAAAAGGUGGUGUUGCAUCACUUACAGAGGGGAUGGAAGACCAGACAGAUGAUGAAAAGUGCUAUACCAUGCUGGUUGUUCUGACACAUCUUCUGCCACCAAUGCCCGGGAGUCGCUGCAGUGUGAAAUCAGCAAUAACAUUCCUUAUUGAUUUUGUACCGGUAUGUUUCGAAAUUAUGUCUGUAAGAGCCAAUGAGGGACCAGGUACGGUGGCCGACGGGUGCAAACGCCCUGCAAUUUAUGACAACUCAUG